RNAcentral lists this long non-coding RNA (1914 nucleotides) under Homo sapiens (human). Its description in RNAcentral is "HSALNT0223964". Lineage: Eukaryota; Metazoa; Chordata; Mammalia; Primates; Hominidae. The record is from RNAcentral.
CCGAACCCAGCAGAAGAUCUGAACAGGUGGCUGUGGUUUUCCUGCCCAGCCCACUACCACUGGGCCGUAGAUGAGAUGGAUAUCUUGUCCAGCCCGCUGCCACUGGACCAUUUCUGCAGGGCCCAUCUAUCACCCCAUCUUGCAGUGUGGAGCCUCGAGUUCUCCAAAUGUCCAGAUCGCAGCUGUCACUGAGCAGUUGCAUCUGUUACACAGUAAAGGAGUCCUAGAGAAGUGCUGCCAAGGGGAACUCAUAAAAAAGCCGCUGCUGGAGACUCAGAUGUGCCCUGCUGAGCGAGGCAGUCUCCUCCUACUUACCGUGCUGCAGUGAGCCGCAGUCACCCGCGGGGGAGUUGAAGAAUAAGUUGAAUAUGGUUGAACACGGUGGCAUCAUACUGCUCAGCCAUCUCUGGGGUUAACUGCAGAUGAGAUAAUUCCUGUAUAACUCCUGGAUCCUCUAGGGCAUUCUGCCACUGUAUCCACACUUCAUGGUACAAGGGCGAAUGGACAGAUCUCCAGCUUCCAAGUGAAACGUGAAGGCGACUCGACAAGGAUUUCUGUUAGGACAAUAGUUUUGCUUCAUGAAGACCAGGAAGGCUUGAACUCAGGACAAUGGGUAUCUUGAAUUUACUCAGUUCCCAUCUCUUAAGUUAUUAAACAUUAUUUCCCACCUGUCUUGUGUAUUUUUGCUUGAUCCCUAUAAUAUGGGGGCAGGCAUAAUUUUGUAUAACCCCUGUAAGACGUGUGCCAGGUACAAUUGGCCCUAUUUCCUAUGUGGGGAAACUGAGACUCAGAGCAGAGAAGCGACUCUCCUAAGUCACACGUUGUAUUGCUGGCAGAGUCUCGGGCAGGAGUCGUGCCUCCUGAUUUCCAGGUACAUGCUGCUUUUGCUAGAACCAAUCUAUUAAAGAACCAAGACUCUUUUAUUUGGAAUUAAUGAGGGAUUCCAAAAAUAGUGUUAGCAGUGCUUAACAAAUUUGAAAGAGCAAAGGAACUGAAGCCAGAGAAGACUGAGAUAGGGGAGCUGUUUCAUUGUAUCAAUUUCUAUUCACUUUGUUAAUAAUUGAUGCCACAUUUACUCAUUGUUAUAUAUUAAAAAUACUUGAUUUGCUACAAGGUAAAAAUGACCCAUUGACUUUGUCUCUCAACCUACGCUAACCCUAAAUGAGAAUCUCAUUGUGACCACGAUUUUGCAAAAUUGAUUAAAUGGAAAUAAAUGCAUUCAAGUGUCAAAGGCUGCAUUGGGAAUGGUUGCUAAUGAGCUUGACCUUUCAGAGCUUCCUGGCUGGGUGCACAGUAGGUGUUCAAUGAGUACUGAUGGAUGUCUUGACUGACUGAGAUUUCGGUUAGCCUUCCAUCCCCGGGAGCAUGGUGCCUCUAAUGUGUUAGAUGGCAUCAUGUUCCAAAAAUGAAUCGAUCUAUAAAUUUGAAGACUAAUUUGGAAACAUUUUAACCUUACUAAACAGAAUAGUAUGAUAAAACCUAGGUACCCUACGCCAGCUUCAAAUCAAUAUUCUGCUGUUUUUGUUUACUUCCCUUAACACACAUCACUGCCUCCCCACCCCCAACACACACACACUUUUUUGUUUUUGAGACAGAGUCUCGCUCUGUCACCGAGGCUGGGGUGUAGUGGCGCCAUCUCGGCUCACUGCAAGCUCCGCCUCCUGGGUUCAUGCCAUUCUCCUGUCUCGGCCUCCCAGUCUCCAGAGUAGCUGGGACUUCAGGUGUCCACUUUUUUUUUUUUUUUUUGGCUGAAGUACCAUAAAGGAAAUUUCAAACAUUGUGUCAUUCACCUGUGAAUAAAUCUGUAUGUACCUCCAAUAGAUAGACUAAAAAAACCACAACCUUAUCACCACAACACAAUUAGCCAUUGUUUCUUAAUAUCAUAGGAGGCCUCUUCCAUGCUGAAUGCUCCAU